RNAcentral lists this ribosomal RNA (712 nucleotides) under uncultured archaeon. RNAcentral describes it as "bacterial SSU rRNA". It matches the Rfam family "Archaeal small subunit ribosomal RNA", at positions 74 to 769 of the family's 1478-position model. The record is from RNAcentral.
AGGCGCGGCAAACGGCUCAGUAACACGUGGCCAACCUACCCUUGGGACGGAGACAACCCCGGGAAACUGGGGCUAAUCCCCGAUAGGUGAGGAAUCCUGGAAUGGACCCUCGCCCAAAAGACGUUGAGUCCAUGCUAUUCAGCGUCGCCCAAGGAUGGAGCCGCGACCGAUCAGGUAGUUGGUGAGGCAACGGCUCACCAAGCCUAUAACCGGUACGGGCCGUGAGAGCGGGAGCCCGGAGAUGGGCACUGAGACAAGGGCCCAGGCCCUACGGGGCGCAGCAGUUGCGAAAACUCCGCAAUGCACGAAAGUGUGACGGGGCUACCCCGAGUGCCGUCCGCUGAGGAUGGCUUUUCUCCGCUGUAAGGAGGCGGAGGAAUAAGGAGAGGGCAAGACUGGUGUCAGCCGCCGCGGUAAUACCAGCUCUCCGAGUGGUAGGGGUGAUUAUUGGGCUUAAAGCGUCCGUAGCCGGCCUGGCAAGUCUUCCGUUAAAUCCAGCAACCUAAUUGUUGGGCUGCGGGGGAUACUGUUAGGCUAGGGGGCGGGAGAGGCCGACGGUAUUCUCGGGGUAGGGGUGAAAUCUUAUAAUCCCGAGAGGACCACCAGUGGCGAAGGCUGUCGGCUAGCACGCGCCUGACGGUGAGGGACGAAAGCUGGGGGAGCGAACCGGAUUAGAUACCCGGGUAGUCCCUGCUGUAAACGAUGCGAGCUA